Molecule: non-coding RNA, 1897 nt
Organism: Lactuca sativa (garden lettuce)
Lineage: Eukaryota; Viridiplantae; Streptophyta; Magnoliopsida; Asterales; Asteraceae
Source: RefSeq, a predicted model, not a curated record
GUGUUGCGUCUCCUGCAUGUACCGGCUGUGCCCUCCCAUGGCUUAUUUUUUAUAUUUUUUUGUUUCCUUCGUAAUCGUUUAUAGAUGCAACGUGUUUGUCACCGCCUCUAUCGGCCAAUAUCUAUCUUCCAUUUGUUCCUCCACCUCUUCACCGCUUCUUUGUAUGGAUUUUUCAUCUCUUUUGUCAUGUGGUUACUGCAGACGCUCUCCACUCAUGGACCUCAGUUCUUCUUCACCGACUUUAGACGUCUGAAAAUGCACACGGUAUUGCCUUCGGUUUCUUUCUUCCUAUCAUAUGUCGUCUCUAUGACUUCUCUCAUGCGGAUUGUAGAUGGACUAGGUCCGAAAUUUCCUUCAUUUGUUAUUUUCGUUUCUCAAUUUGGUCACCACUCACUCGAUGCUUUGUCGGUGACGAUUGUUGAAGGAAUGAUUGGGGGUCAGCUAGGUCGACGACUUUGGAAGUGUCGGAUGAUUCUUUCAGAGCAUAAGAAGGAUUUCAAAGCUAGAAGGUGCAUUUCAUACGAUAAACUUGAUUACAACCCUAAUUUCGCCUCUUCCUUAUUCAAUUCUCAUAUACGAGCAAUGAAAAUCAUCGUUGGGUUAAGCAGAAGAUAAAGGAUCGAGCGAAGUUACUUUCAGUCGGCAAGAGCAGAUGUCGGACUUAUAUUGAAUCUAUAGUUUGAAUUGGUUGGCAGUUGAAACCGAAGAGGGUUUCAGUUUCACCACCACCGCCCACCACCCUAUACGAUGCAACACCCUGCAAUAGUAAUAAAUUAAAAACCAUGAUUACACUAUACUUAAAGGAUCAAACAAAACUCAGAGGUACAUAGAAGGAAAAUAGACAACACGAAGGAUUAAAUGGUAGAUAAACAGAAGCUUUGGCAUGAAGAAGACAACCAUGAAGCUUUGGCAGAAGCUUUGUUGAAAUGGGUCACCAGAAAUGACAGUUGGUUUGGUAGAAAUCACAUGUUAUUGCUAAUUUCAGAUUGUGCAGUGUUUCUGGCUAUUUGAUUUCACUUAUUCUCUUCAUUCUAUAUUCAUAUAUACAUUUGUUAUCUGUGAUGAGGUUUUUGAUUAGUUUUGAAUAUCAUUAUGAUUUGGGCAGUGCAGUAGGAAGACUAAAUUGGUGGAGAUUCAUGCGACACAUCCUAGAUUUCAUGUUAUAUUUAACUUCCUUUAUAACAGGUAAGAGUGGUCGCUCCUUUUUGAUGAUUUUCGAUUACCAAAAGUUAUAAUAGCUUAUACCAUUUUAGGUUCAUUUUUUAAAAUAAGUUUUAGAGAUCAAGUUUGAAAUUUAUGACUGGUUGUGUGUUUUGUGUUUAUGAGCAGAAAUGGAGUAGUUCAUUCCAUAUUAACAAACAAAAGGUAAAUGUUUCGAAGUAGCACGUUGUAGUCGGACACAAUUUAACAGUAAGAUGAUAUAGGAAAAAUGUACAUGAAAGUAUAUUGCUAUUUUCUGGACAACUUAUCACUUGAAAGUUUCUACAGGUCUUAACAAAGUUAUCCUGCAUAGAAGGAUGGAAGUGGCAUUCUUUACGAGUUCUUUGAGCAUGGAAUGCAUGGACAAAGGAGAGAAUUGACUGGAAAGCUAUUGGGACAUAUUUUGACACUUACUCCUCAAAUGUAUGGCUGUUAAGUUAUUUAAAAGGUAAAGUUUGGUAUGUGGGAAUCACAUAAGGGAUGGAAUAGGACAUUCCGUUUCCAUUACAGAAUUUUGGUUAUUUUUUGUUUAGUAGUUGCUUCUUAAUUUCCGUGACUCGGACCUGGUGUCCCCCUAUUCUUCACAUGAUUUUUUCCCUUAAUUGUAGUAUGUUUGUAUAGUAAUAUGCCAACUAUCUGUAGUUUUAUUUUAUUUAUAUAUAUGAUGUCGUUCAAAAAAUAAUUGAUAUUAUCUUUA